AGGCGGAGACUUGGGCAAUUGCUGAACUCUGCCCUGGGCAUUGCACUUGUCUCGGUCUGA
Molecule: microRNA precursor, 60 nt
Filed under: Monodelphis domestica (gray short-tailed opossum)
Lineage: Eukaryota; Metazoa; Chordata; Mammalia; Didelphimorphia; Didelphidae
Description: Mdo-Mir-92-P2d_pre stem-loop
Rfam family: mir-25 microRNA precursor family
Source: RNAcentral